Molecule: ribosomal RNA, 253 nt
Filed under: uncultured bacterium
Lineage: Bacteria
Description: partial 16S ribosomal RNA
Rfam family: Bacterial small subunit ribosomal RNA
Source: RNAcentral
UACGAAGGGGGCUAGCGUUGUUCGGAAUUACUGGGCGUAAAGCGCACGUAGGCGGACUAUUAAGUCAGGGGUGAAAUCCCGGGGCUCAACCCCGGAACUGCCUUUGAUACUGGUAGUCUCGAGUCCGGAAGAGGUGAGUGGAAUUCCGAGUGUAGAGGUGAAAUUCGUAGAUAUUCGGAGGAACACCAGUGGCGAAGGCGGCUCACUGGUCCGGUACUGACGCUGAAGUGCGAAAGCGUGGGGAGCAAACAGG